CACGCGUGAAAUUACCAACGCCGUUAUCUAUAAUUUAUUUACUCAUUUGCUUAUUGUUUCUGUGUCCCUAUCAACAGCGUGAAGGAGAGGGUGCAGGGCGUGUUCGUUAACUAGGACGCCGUGGUAACAGCCCACGCUUCUCUAGCUGGCUAACUGUGAUAUGGGAGCUUUGCUUUCUCUGCUUCCUCCCCACCUCUCAGACCCACCUCUCUACCGACCCACCUCUCAGAUCCACCUCUCCAACUCUCCACCACCCCAACUCUCAGAUCCACCUAUCAGACCCACCUCUCUACUGACCCACCUCUUAGACCCACCUCUCUACCGACCCACCUUUCCACCUCCCCACCCCACCUCUCAGAUCCACCUGUCAUACCCACCUCUCAGAGCCACCCACCUCUCCACCUCUCUACUGAUCCACCUGUCCACCCCAACUCUCCACCACCCCACCUCUCAGAUCCACCCAUCAGACCCACCUCUCUAUUGACCCACCUCUCUACUGACCCACCUUUCAGACCACCCCACCUCUCAGACCCACCCCACCUCUCAGACCCACCCCACCUCUCCACUGCAGGACUCAGUCCCAACUAAUUUACCGGUUUGGGUAUGGUGAAGGGGGUAUGGAUUUUUUUUCCAUCAGCCAAUGACAGCGCAAUGAGGCGAUAUGAGGUCUGUGUGCUAAUGAGCUGACACUGCAGUGGGGGCUGAGCUGAGGAGACAGAGGAGAGGAAAGGGGACAAGAUGAGAGGAGAGCCACAAUGACCAGCGGGCCAGACACAUCGGGCCAAUGUGGUUCCAAUUACACAGACGAGGAGUGGGCAGAACCACAGAGGACCAGAGACGUCUGUUUACAAGGCUCUGCAGCAGAACAUUUAUGAUGUCAAGAGUAGGCCAUUGUCUUUUCCCUAUCUGGGCAAACCUUUUGACCACAUCCAGAUGCUGAGUCUACGGAGGAACAACAUGAAUUGGUGCAUUCAGCAGGAAUAAUCUAGUGCGACUUAAGUUCUCCACCAGCUGGAAGACUGUCCUCUUUUCUCAGCGGAGGGAAGGAGAGCAAAGGGAUUUUGAGUCGGGUGAGAGGCAGCCUCACACUGUCCUCAACAGGAGUACCGCUGAGGACAGGGGUGUCUCUCACAGGUGAAGGAUCUUUUAAACAAACAAGAAGAGUUCUACAAGCAGUUGUUACAACAACGAGAAUGUAGCUUCAAGUGUUUUGUCCAAAUACUGGUGGAGUCAACUAAUAAAAGAAUGGACCUGACCAGAGAGGUCCAGGACCUGAAGAACAGUUUGCUGUUCUCCCAGGGUCAACUCGAUGAGUUGAAACAGGAGAACGGCAAGAUGACAGCAAUCAGUAAGUCAUUGAGAGAGAACAUCAGUUCUGUGUGUGAAUCCAUGAUGACAAGGGAGGGACAAUCAAGGCAGAAUAGCUUGUUGUGGACGGAAUUGCAGAAUCUCCACGAGACCUGGACGGAGUCUGAGGACAAUGUGAGGGAAAUUAUCUCUGAGAAAUUGAAGAUGGACACACAGGAAGAUUGAGGUGGGGUGCACUCACAGGAAUGGAAAACCCACGACAGGCCCAGGCCCAGGCGACAGGCCCAGGCGACAGGCCAAGUUCCUGAGGUUCAAGGACAAGGUAACUGUUCUGGAAAAGCCAAGAACGUGAGAGGAACGUGCAUCUUCAACAAGGUCUAUCCUGAAGCUGUGCACCAGAAGAGGAAAGAACUGAUCCCAGCCAUGAAAGCUGCCACAGCACGUGGGGACAUUGCUUACAACCUCUAUGACAAGAUCAUUAUCCACCCUCCUUCCCAGAAGCCUGGACAGGAUGAGAGAGCCAAGACCACAGCACACACCAGUUGAUUAAUGGACUGCUGAAUGUAUAUAUUUUUGUCUUGCUUUGUCUGCUCUUUUCCAUAUUAUGUCUAUCUCUGAUAAGCCACCCAGGAAAGGGCUGAAAAUAGCCCAUAUGAAUAUAUGUAGCAAUAUAAAUAAGGUUAAUGAAAUCAGUAUCUUGCUAACAUCAGGUAACAUUCAUAUUAGCCAUUUCUGAGACUCAUUUACAUCAUUCAUUUGAUGAUACAGCAGUAGCAAUACAAGGAUAUAACAAGAGACAGAAAUGCUUAUAGGGGAAGUGUUGCUGUGUGUGUAACAUAUAUAUUCAGAGCCAUAUCCCUAUAAUGCUUAGAGAAGAUCUUAUGUCAAGUGUUAUUGAAGUGUUGUGCCUAGUGAACAUGCAACCACAUCUAAAGCCUUUUUCCUUUGGGGUGUUGCUAUAGGCCACCAAGUGCUAACCGUCAGAAUCUAAAUAAUAUGUGUCAAAUGCUUGAUAGUGUAUGUGUUGUAAACAUAGAGGUUUACUUUCUUGGGGACUGGUUUUCAUCAAGCAGUCCGCUCAAGAGGAAGCUUCUCACUGUAACCAGUGCCUGUAAUCUGGUUCAGGUUAUUAAUCAACCUACCAGGGUGUUUACAAACACUACUGGAACAAGAUCAUCCACAUUUUUACUAAUACUGUAGAACUUUGUUCUAAAGCUGUAUCCGUACCCAUUGGAUGCACUGAUCACAAUAUAGUGGCUAUUAUCCUGAAAGCCAAAGUUCCAAAAGCUGGGCCUAAAAUAGUGUAUGAGAAAUCAUACACAAGAUUUUUCUGUGACUUUUAUGUGGAUGAUGUUAAAAAUAUUUAUUGGUCUGAUGUGUUCAAUAAGGAGCAUCCAGAUGCUGCACUUGAUAAGAAGCAAUUUCAUGAAUUUACAAUUAUUGAUGCACCUGUAAAGAAACUGACUGUUAGAACUGUUAAGGCUCCAUUGAUUGAGGCGGAAUUUAAAAACUGUAUGGUUGAAAGAGAUGGUGCAAAAGGAGUGUCUAAUAAGUCUGGCUGUACAUCUGACUGGCUGACUUACUGCAAAUUGAGAAAUUAUGUGACUAAACUCAACAAAAAAUAAGAAGAAACUAUAUUAUGAAGCCAAGAUCAAUUAUAUAAAGACUGAUGGAAAAACAAAAAAACUUGGGAGUACUUUAAAUGAAAUAUGGGCAGAAAGACAUUCAACUUCAUCUUUCAUCAAAUCCGAUGGCUUAUUCAUCACAAAACCAUUUGAUGUUGCCAAUUAAGUUAAUGAUAACUUCAUGGGCAAAGUGGGAAAACUUAGGCAGGAAAUGCCACCAACGAACAGUGAGCCAUCGUAUUCAAGCAUAAAAAAAACUAAUAAUAAAAGACAAUCAUUGCAAGUUUGCAUUUUGUAAAGUUUUUGUGGGAGAGGUGAAACCUUGUUGUUAUCGAUCAAUAAUGACAAGCCUCCUGGCACUGACAACAUUGAUGGAA
Oncorhynchus kisutch (coho salmon) is the source of this 3310-nucleotide long non-coding RNA. RefSeq lists it as uncharacterized. The record is from RefSeq and is a predicted model, not a curated record. Lineage: Eukaryota; Metazoa; Chordata; Actinopteri; Salmoniformes; Salmonidae. The transcript has 3 exons.